RNAcentral lists this transfer RNA (79 nucleotides) under Gammaproteobacteria bacterium. RNAcentral's name for it is "tRNA-Leu". The record is from RNAcentral. Lineage: Bacteria; Pseudomonadati; Pseudomonadota; Gammaproteobacteria.
GGCCGCCUGAAGGGAAUUCGGCAUACCUGUCCGGCUCAGACCCGGACGAGUCCCGGUUCGAGUCCGGGGGCGGCUACCA